GCGGUUCCAGGCUGGGCCGGCGCAGGGGCAGAUCGCUGGGAUCUCACCUGGUGUCUGUGCAUGGGCUGGGACAGAGCCUUGAGAUGCUGGAACCAUUCAAACAUGAGCCUGGCAUUGUUCACUUGCUUUCCCCACAGGGUGAGGAGCUGGUGCCCCUGGACUGUGCCGCAGUCUCCAGGACAGCAGGAAUCUCUUGCUAAGUGGAAGAGGCUGAUGCUGCCAAGGCAAACUAAUGGACUGGUCACCUAGCGGAACAUGAUGGUGUCUCCCAAGGGG
RNAcentral lists this long non-coding RNA (276 nucleotides) under Chelonoidis abingdonii (Abingdon island giant tortoise). RNAcentral's name for it is "lncRNA (ENSCABG00000009607.1)". Lineage: Eukaryota; Metazoa; Chordata; Testudines; Testudinidae. The record is from RNAcentral.